AUUGAACGCUGGCGGCAGGCCUAACACAUGCAAGUCGAGCGGUAGCACAGAGAGCUUGCUCUCGGGUGACGAGCGGCGGACGGGUGAGUAAUGUCUGGGAAACUGCCUGAUGGAGGGGGAUAACUACUGGAAACGGUAGCUAAUACCGCAUAACGUCGCAAGACCAAAGUGGGGGACCUUCGGGCCUCAUGCCAUCAGAUGUGCCCAGAUGGGAUUAGCUAGUAGGUGGGGUAAUGGCUCACCUAGGCGACGAUCCCUAGCUGGUCUGAGAGGAUGACCAGCCACACUGGAACUGAGACACGGUCCAGACUCCUACGGGAGGCAGCAGUGGGGAAUAUUGCACAAUGGGCGCAAGCCUGAUGCAGCCAUGCCGCGUGUGUGAAGAAGGCCUUCGGGUUGUAAAGCACUUUCAGCGGGGAGGAAGGCGUUAAGGUUAAUAACCUUGGCGAUUGACGUUACCCGCAGAAGAAGCACCGGCUAACUCCGUGCCAGCAGCCGCGGUAAUACGGAGGGUGCAAGCGUUAAUCGGAAUUACUGGGCGUAAAGCGCACGCAGGCGGUCUGUCAAGUCGGAUGUGAAAUCCCCGGGCUCAACCUGGGAACUGCAUUCGAAACUGGCAGGCUAGAGUCUUGUAGAGGGGGGUAGAAUUCCAGGUGUAGCGGUGAAAUGCGUAGAGAUCUGGAGGAAUACCGGUGGCGAAGGCGGCCCCCUGGACAAAGACUGACGCUCAGGUGCGAAAGCGUGGGGAGCAAACAGGAUUGGAUACCCUGGUAGUCCACGCCGUAAACGAUGUCGAUUUGGAGGUUGUGCCCUUGAGGCGUGGCUUCCGGAGCUAACGCGUUAAAUCGACCGCCUGGGGAGUACGGCCGCAAGGUUAAAACUCAAAUGAAUUGACGGGGGCCCGCACAAGCGGUGGAGCAUGUGGUUUAAUUCGAUGCAACGCGAAGAACCUUACCUGGUCUUGACAUCCACAGAACUUUCCAGAGAUGGAUUGGUGCCUUCGGGAACUGUGAGACAGGUGCUGCAUGGCUGUCGUCAGCUCGUGUUGUGAAAUGUUGGGUUAAGUCCCGCAACGAGCGCAACCCUUAUCCUUUGUUGCCAGCGGUUAGGCCGGGAACUCAAAGGAGACUGCCAGUGAUAAACUGGAGGAAGGUGGGGAUGACGUCAAGUCAUCAUGGCCCUUACGACCAGGGCUACACACGUGCUACAAUGGCAUAUACAAAGAGAAGCGACCUCGCGAGAGCAAGCGGACCUCAUAAAGUAUGUCGUAGUCCGGAUUGGAGUCUGCAACUCGACUCCAUGAAGUCGGAAUCACUAGUAAUCGUAGAUCAGAAUGCUACGGUGAAUACGUUCCCGGGCCU
This 1361-nucleotide ribosomal RNA is filed under the name uncultured bacterium. RNAcentral describes it as "bacterial SSU rRNA". It matches the Rfam family "Bacterial small subunit ribosomal RNA", at positions 28 to 1381 of the family's 1533-position model. The record is from RNAcentral.